RNAcentral lists this ribosomal RNA (581 nucleotides) under uncultured bacterium. Its description in RNAcentral is "partial 16S ribosomal RNA". It matches the Rfam family "Bacterial small subunit ribosomal RNA", at positions 355 to 919 of the family's 1533-position model. The record is from RNAcentral.
UGGGGAAUUUUGGACAACGGGCGAAAGCCUGAUCCAGCAAUGCCGCGUGUGUGAAGAAGGCCUUCGGGUUGUAAAGCACUUUUGUCCGGAAAGAAAUCCUUGGCUCUAAUACAGUCGGGGGAUGACGGUACCGGAAGAAUAAGCACCGGCUAACUACGUGCCAGCAGCCGCGGUAAUACGUAGGGUGCAAGCGUUAAUCGGAAUUACUGGGCGUAAAGCGUGCGCAGGCGGUUUGCUAAGACCGAUGUGAAAUCCCCGGGCUCAACCUGGGAACUGCAUUGGUGACUGGCAGGCGUAGAGUAUGGCAGAGGGGGGUUAGAAUUCCACGUGUAGCAGUGAAAUGCGUAGAGAUGUGGAGGAAUACCGAUGGCGAAGGCAGCCCCCCUGGGGCCAAUACUGACGCUCAUGCACGAAAGGCGUGGGGAGCAAAACAGGAUUAGAUACCCUGGUAGUCCCACGCCCCUAAACGAUGUCAACUAGUUGUUGGGGGAUUCAUUUCCUUAGGUAACGUAGCUAACGCGUGAAGUUGAUCGCCUGGGGAGUACGGUCGCAAGAUUAAAACUCAAAGGAAUUGACGGGGU